AAUGCUUAGGAAUCUGCCUAUUAGUGGGGGACAACAUUCCGAAAGGAAUGCUAAUACCGCAUACGUCCUACGGGAGAAAGCAGGGGACCUUCGGGCCUUGCGCUAAUAGAUGAGCCUAAGUCGGAUUAGCUAGUUGGUGGGGUAAAGGCCUACCAAGGCGACGAUCUGUAGCGGGUCUGAGAGGAUGAUCCGCCACACUGGGACUGAGACACGGCCCAGACUCCUACGGGAGGCAGCAGUGGGGAAUAUUGGACAAUGGGGGGAACCCUGAUCCAGCCAUGCCGCGUGUGUGAAGAAGGCCUUAUGGUUGUAAAGCACUUUAAGCGAGGAGGAGGCUACUAGUAUUAAUACUACUGGAUAGUGGACGUUACUCGCAGAAUAAGCACCGGCUAACUCUGUGCCAGCAGCCGCGGUAAUACAGAGGGUGCGAGCGUUAAUCGGAUUUACUGGGCGUAAAGCGUGCGUAGGCGGCCAUUUAAGUCAAAUGUGAAAUCCCCGAGCUUAACUUGGGAAUUGCAUUCGAUACUGGAUGGCUAGAGUAUGGGAGAGGAUGGUAGAAUUCCAGGUGUAGCGGUGAAAUGCGUAGAGAUCUGGAGGAAUACCGAUGGCGAAGGCAGCCAUCUGGCCUAAUACUGACGCUGAGGUACGAAAGCAUGGGGAGCAAACAGGAUUAGAUACCCUGGUAGUCCAUGCCGUAAACGAUGUCUACUAGCCGUUGGGGCCUUUGAGGCUUUAGUGGCGCAGCUAACGCGAUAAGUAGACCGCCUGGNGAGUACGGUCGCAAGACUAAAACUCNAAUGAAUUGACGGGGGCCCGCACAAGCGGUGGAGCAUGUGGUUUAAUUCGAUGCAACGCGAANAACCUUACCUGGCCUUGACAU
RNAcentral lists this ribosomal RNA (880 nucleotides) under Acinetobacter venetianus. RNAcentral describes it as "bacterial SSU rRNA". It matches the Rfam family "Bacterial small subunit ribosomal RNA", at positions 112 to 987 of the family's 1533-position model. The record is from RNAcentral. Lineage: Bacteria; Pseudomonadati; Pseudomonadota; Gammaproteobacteria; Moraxellales; Moraxellaceae.